GUGGGUGUAGCUCAGUUGGCAGAGCACCAGGUUGUGGCCCUGGGAGUCGCGGGUUCAAAUCCCGUCAUCCACCCCA
RNAcentral lists this transfer RNA (76 nucleotides) under Verrucomicrobiota bacterium. RNAcentral's name for it is "Verrucomicrobia bacterium (groundwater metagenome) tRNA-His". It matches the Rfam family "tRNA". From Rfam's summary of the family: Transfer RNA (tRNA) molecules are approximately 80 nucleotides in length. Their secondary structure includes four short double-helical elements and three loops (D, anti-codon, and T loops). Lineage: Bacteria; Pseudomonadati; Verrucomicrobiota. The record is from RNAcentral.